CGGAGAGGGAGCCUGAGAAACGGCUACCACUUCUAAGGAAGGCAGCAGGCGCGCAAAUUACCCAAUCCUGACUCAGGGAGGUAGUGACAAGAAAUAACAAUAAACCGGCUUAUGCCGGUUUAAUUGGAAUGAGUACAAUUUAAACAUCUUAACGAGGAACAAUUGGAGGGCAAGUCUGGUGCCAGCAGCCGCGGUAAUUCCAGCUCCAAUAGCGUAUACUAAAGUUGUUGCAGUUAAAAAGCUCGUAGUUGGAUUUCUGCGGGGACGGAGCGGCCGGACGCAACUUGCGUCUCGAGCUAGCGCUUUCCCCGCAUCCUGCCGCGAACCGUGCUACCAUUAGCUUGGUGGCGCUGGGGAUCGGCUCGAUUACUUUGAGAAAAAUAGAGUGUUCAAAGCAGGCCACACGCCUUGAAUAAGUUAGCAUGGAAUAAUGACUAAGGACUUUGGUUCUUUUCGUUGGUGUUCGGGACUGAAGUAAUGAUUGAUAGGGACAGUUGGGGCGGUCUGUAUUCCAAAGCGAGAGGUGAAAUUCUUAGACCUUCGGAAGACAAACAGCUGCGAAAGCGUUCCGCAAGGAUGUUCCCUUUGAUCAAGAACGAAAGUUGGGGGAUCGAAGACGAUCAGAUACCGUCGUAGUCUCAACUAUAAACUAUACCAGCUAGGGAUCGGCCAACGUUUAAUUAUUCGACUUGGUCGGCACCUUAUGAGAAAUCAAAGCAUCUGGGUUCCGGGGGGAGUAUGGUCGCAAGGCUGAAACUUAAAGGAAUUGACGGAAGGGCACCACCAGGCGUGGAGCCUGUGGCUUGAUUUGACUCAACACGGGAAAACUUACCAGGUCCAGACAUAGGAAGGAUUGACAGAUUGAUAGCUCUUUCUUGAUUCUGUGGGUGGUGGUGCAUGGCCGUUUUUAGUCGGUGAAGUGAUUUGUCUGCUUAAUUGCGUUAACGGACGAGACCCCAGCCUGCUAAAUAGCGCGGCCGAGCUUUGCUCGGUGCGAGCUUCUUAGAGGGACCAUGAUGCGCGAUAGCACAAGGAAGUUUGGGGCAACAACAGGUCUGUGAUGCCCUUAGAUGUUCUGGGCCGCACACGGGCUACACUGGCGCCUGCAACGAGCAUAUCAGCUGGCCCGAGAGGGUCUUGGCUAAUCUUUGGAACCGGCGCCGUGCUUGGGAUUGACCAUUGCAAUUGUUGGUCAUGCAACGAGGAAUGCCUUGUAAACGCGAGUCAUCAGCUCGCAUUGAAUACGUCCCUGCCCUUUGUACACACCGCCCGUCGCUCCUACCGAUGAAUGUUCCGAUGAAAUUUUCGGAGAGCGCCGGAGAACGGGGCUCUGCCCUGCAGAACUGGAGGCUCAAAGUCACUUAAAUCUGAACAUUUCGAGGGAGGAGAAGUCGUAACAAGGUAACC
Molecule: ribosomal RNA, 1407 nt
Filed under: uncultured Rhizaria
Lineage: Eukaryota
Description: SSU rRNA
Rfam family: Eukaryotic small subunit ribosomal RNA
Source: RNAcentral